This 371-nucleotide unclassified non-coding RNA is filed under the name uncultured bacterium. RNAcentral's name for it is "contains 16S-23S intergenic spacer region". The record is from RNAcentral.
UCCGGUUUGUCACUGGCAGUCUCACUAGAGUGCCACUUGCGGUGGCAACUAGUGACAAGGGUUGCGCUCGUUGCGGGACUUAACCCAACAUCUCACGACACGAGCUGACGACAGCCAUGCACCACCUGUGAAAGUGCCCCGAAGGGAGACCGUGUUUCCACGGCUGUCACUCACAUGUCAAACCCAGGUAAGGUUCUUCGCGUUGCGUCGAAUUAAACCACAUGCUCCGCUGCUUGUGCGGGUCCCCGUCAAUUCCUUUGAGUUUUAAUCUUGCGACCGUACUCCCCAGGCGGGAUGCUUAAUGCGUUAGCUGCGCCACUGACGAGUAAACCCGCCAACGGCUAGCAUCCAUCGUUUACGGCGUGGACUAC